This 253-nucleotide ribosomal RNA is filed under the name uncultured bacterium. Its description in RNAcentral is "partial 16S ribosomal RNA". It matches the Rfam family "Bacterial small subunit ribosomal RNA", at positions 524 to 776 of the family's 1533-position model. The record is from RNAcentral.
UACGUAGGGUGCAAGCGUUAAUCGGAAUUACUGGGCGUAAAGCGUGCGCAGGCGGUUUUGUAAGUUUGACGUGAAAUCCCCGGGCUCAACCUGGGAAUUGCGUUGGAGACUGCAAGGCUGGAGUCUGGCAGAGGGGGGUAGAAUUCCACGUGUAGCAGUGAAAUGCGUAGAGAUGUGGAGGAAUACCGAUGGCGAAGGCAGCCUCCUGGGCCAACACUGACGCUCAUGCACGAAAGCGUGGGGAGCAAACAGG